Molecule: RNA transcript, 2684 nt
Organism: Dalotia coriaria
Lineage: Eukaryota; Metazoa; Arthropoda; Insecta; Coleoptera; Staphylinidae
Exons: 2
Source: RefSeq, a predicted model, not a curated record
UUUACAAAACAUGGUUUCUAAUCAAAUAACUGAUACAAAACAAAAAUCACAAACAAAUUUAUCAAAUGUCAAAAUUCGAUUGCGCAUGUCACACAUAAUUUAAGACCUCAAAAUUUUCUCCCCAAAAUUACUUCGUAUUAUGUAAACUACCAACUGAUAAAAAUCAAAAUUCAACAGUAAGUGAAAUUAUGAUAUACCUUAUACACGGCGUAUAAAUAAUAAAAUUUAAUUCAAAAGUAAUAAAAUCAAAUUGUAAGUUUGAUGCGGCUGCAUCUGCUGCGUGCAUACUCGCAUCUAUUCAAGAUGGUGUCGUUAAUGACAAUGGCGUCGUCGUUCCGCGCAUGCGCGGGAGCGAACCGCGCUGCAUUAUUAGGAGGUACCACCGUAACCCGUCCAAUGAGUUUAUGCCCAGUUCAUCAUGCUGGACACAAUAAUACCUCUCCUCCACCUAUUGAUGAAGAGUACUGGCGUGAUAAAAUCCUAGACCGCUUGCCACGUCGUUGGUGUGAUGACCGUGCUGUUCUUCAGCACUACGAGAAUGUCCAUCCAUGGAGCCCGCCUACGGAUUUACAUGGUUGCGCUUGUUAUAUACCCACAGAUGAUGCUGGUCAUGAAUGUAACAGACCAGACGUAGAAGCAAAAAAUACUAAAAAAGUUAUGGAUUACUGCGAUUGGUACAGGUGUCAAAGAAAGGUCAAGGGAGAUGAAGGUCAUGAGGAUCAAAGGAGAUACUUUAGUAGUGAAAGUAAACCGCCUGUAAAACCCCCUGUUGAUAAAGCACAAGGAAAAGAAGCUAAGAAAGAAGCUGAGAAGAAGAAAAUUGAUCUUCAACCGGUUGAUGCCAGCAAAAAAGCAAAUCAUGUUGAUAAGGUAUCCUGUUUUCUAGGUCCUUUUUGUAAUAUGUUUAAAGGACUUUCUGCUAAAGGAAAUACAGUAGCUGCUCCUGCAGAGAAAAAAGCUGCUGAAUUUAAACCACCGGCAAAACCUGCAUCAAUAUCCGCGAAAGAUUCUAAACCAACCACAGCUGUAGUUGCUAAACAAACUGAUAAUAAAUCACAAUCGUCUUGUAAAACCACCAAAACCAAAAAGUCUAGCGGAUGUGAAAAACCUAAAGCUAAAAAAGACGUCUGCAAAAACCGGAAAAGAAAUCCACAACUUGUGCGAAACCAAAAAAGAGUCGUCAGCAUGUAAACCCAAAAGAAGUCUAUAUGUGAAAAACCUAAAAAGGACACGUGUAAAAAACCGGAGAAAAAGAAAGUAAACCGAAGGGAUGUGCGAUACCCAAAAAGAAGUCCGGCGGAUGUGAAAUACCCAAAAAGAAAUCGGUAACAUGUAAAACUAAGAAGAAAUCUGUUUGUAAAAAACCCAAAAAAGAUGUGUGUAAAAAACCGGAGAAGAAAUCAACUUGCAAGACUGAGAAAAAAUCGGUUUGCAAAAAACCUAAACCAGCUAAAAAAUCAACCUGUAAAAUGCCUAAGAAAGAUAAGUGUAAAAAACCUAAACAGGAUAAAUGUAAAAAACCAAAGAAAUCAACGUGUAAGAAGCCUAAAAAGAAAGACGAAUGCAAGAAACCCAAAAAACAACGUGUAAGAAACCUGAAAAGAAAAAAUCUUGCUCUGACACUUGUUCUGAUAAGAAACCCUUCAAUCCGAAUAAUUGCGGUUGUCAAUCACAUAUUACUAAACCACACAAAGUGGGUAGGGAUGGUGUGCCAUGUCCGUCAGAGACUUCUGUUUCCAGUUGCAAAAAAACAAAGAAUGACAAGUGUUCGAAAAAGUGUAAAAGCGCACCGACGAAUUCCUGCACUGUGAAUCUUUGUGCUAAUGACAAAGAUAAAGUGUUUGAUAUGAAGACUUGUUCGAAAAUCAAGGAGAAGAAGAAAAGUUUGAAGAAUAAAGUGUUUUCUGUUAAGAGCUGUCAGGAUGGCGAAUGUGACGAUGGCGGGUGUAAAGGAUCUGGAAGUAGCUGUGGAAAGGGAGGAGUAAAGUGUGCAGGAAUAAGCGGAGUGAGAUAUAUGUCGUAUGCAUCCUCACGAAAUGAUUGUGAUGGAUGUAAGCAAGAUGACGGUGAUUGUAAUGAGGAAAAAUCUUGUAAGAAGAAAAGCGGGGUAUUCAAUGCCAGUAUGAUGAAAUCACAUGAUGAGGAGAAUGGGGAGUGCAAAGCUACAUCAAAAACAAGUCUACAUCUACAGGUGAAAAGCUUGAGGCAGCAGCCAAAGUCGACGUCCUAGACAAUCUUGGGCACGUCCUCAGCCCGGACAAAGACUACAUCGCUGAAAUAGAGGAAUAUCAUAAAUGCAAAUACACCAACAACACCUACUUCAGCUUCCAUCCAACCUCAUUCCAUGAUAUGGUUCUGCAUCUAAAACAGUUUCGUGGAAAGCCACAUAUUCCCUUACAGCAACCUACGCCGGAAAAGAAGAAAAAUGACGCUCGAAAGGAUGAUCAAGAUGAAAAAGAUGACGGCCGCAAAAAGAAAAAAGGGAAAAAGUCUAAAGAUGGGGAUGAUUAACUAAUUUUGAUUCUUUUCAAUAGUUUAUUUUAUCUUUUAUUUUAAAACGCAAUUUUAUUAUAAUAUACACAUGAAAUUUAAGAAAACACAUGUUUAGGAAAAAAUAUCUAUAUAUGUACUUAAAUUCUAAAUAAGGAUGAACAUUUAAUAAAUAAUUGCUACAUGUAGUUCAA